This is a long non-coding RNA of Sander lucioperca (pikeperch), 404 nucleotides long. RefSeq lists it as uncharacterized. NCBI's taxonomy places the organism in Eukaryota, Metazoa, Chordata, Actinopteri, Perciformes, Percidae. The transcript is spliced from 4 exons. The record is from RefSeq and is a predicted model, not a curated record.
GGAUUGCUGAUUGCCGCUGCUACUUCACAUUACAAGCUGUCCACCUGUGAACCACUUGAAGACUUUUUUGGGGAAACAGCUACAAGAUGUCCAGAGUUAGUCAUCGGGUGUGGUAACGCCCCCCUUGUUUCUGUGUGAGUGGAAAUGGGGCAUGGAGCCUGGGCGGCACGACUGGGAGGAGAGAUGGCAGCCAGGGUGGCACGCUGCCUGGAGUAGUGCCAACCGCUCUCAACCAGCAUGCGACAGGCGUGGACAGUAAUGGCUGCGUGAUUGGGCUGCACUGGAUGAUGAUUUUAAUAAACACACACACGCAGAGGGGGCCACAGGUCACCGGUGUUUGGAUUCAUCAUCCGCACAGUGUCUGAUGUGAAGCAGUUACGGCACAGCGCCAUCUCAUGUCAGGU